Molecule: ribosomal RNA, 684 nt
Filed under: Acinetobacter junii
Lineage: Bacteria; Pseudomonadati; Pseudomonadota; Gammaproteobacteria; Moraxellales; Moraxellaceae
Description: bacterial SSU rRNA
Rfam family: Bacterial small subunit ribosomal RNA
Source: RNAcentral
CAGCCAUGCCGCGUGUGUGAAGAAGGCCUUAUGGUUGUAAAGCACUUUAAGCGAGGAGGAGGCUACUGAGACUAAUACUCUUGGAUAGUGGACGUUACUCGCAGAAUAAGCACCGGCUAACUCUGUGCCAGCAGCCGCGGUAAUACAGAGGGUGCAAGCGUUAAUCGGAUUUACUGGGCGUAGAGCGUGCGUAGGCGGCUUUUUAAGUCGGAUGUGAAAUCCCCGAGCUUAACUUGGGAAUUGCAUUCGAUACUGGGAAGCUAGAGUAUGGGAGAGGAUGGUAGAAUUCCAGGUGUAGCGGUGAAAUGCGUAGAGAUCUGGAGGAAUACCGAUGGCGAAGGCAGCCAUCUGGCCUAAUACUGACUCUGAAGCACGAACGUAUGGGGAGCAAACAGGAAUAUACACCCUGGGAGCCCAUGCCGUACACGAUGUGUUCUAGGCUAUGGGGCCUUUGACCCUUUAGGGGGGCACUUAACGCGAUAAGUAUCCCGCCGGGGAAGAACGGCGGCAGAACUAAAACUCAAAUAAAUUGAGGGGGGCCCGAACAAGCGGUGGAGCAGGUGGUUAAUUUCAAUGAAACGCGAAAACCCUAACCUGGCCUUGACAUACUAGAAACUUUCCAAAAAUGGAUUUGUCCCCUUCGGGAAUCAAGAUACAGGUGCUGCAUGUCUCUCGUCAACAAAA